CUGCAAGAGAGGAGGGCCUCUGGACAUCAAAGGUUCCUUUUGUCCCUUUCCGAGUGGCAGGGCAGCCGGGCCACUGGCUAUGACUCAGGCCUGGCCCUGACGUCACCCACGGCUUGCCACUGGCCUCGGUUUGCAGCCAGGAACCUGGCCAGGGAGUGGUUCUCAUAGCGGCAGCAAAUCUCAAAACCGGGAGCUCACUGCUGUGCUCUCCCCAUCUCCCCACAACCCAUCUUAACCUUUUUUCUUCUUCUUUUUAAGCCGUAAGGCGGCCUUUUCUUAUAGAUCAACUUUCCAAAUCUAAGCAGUCAGAAUGAGUGACGUCAUGAGAAAAUUAUGUGGAGCACAUCUCAACCAGGAGUUGAGGAAUCCAGAGGACGAAUGCGGUUGGUAACUCCUGAGCCCAGGGAGUUGGCAGAGUGUGGGCUUCCAAGGAGCCAGCACCUCCGAACCGAGCUGUCUUGAAUUGAGGCCAUGACGUCCUACUGUUCCUGUGGCUGAAAGAGCUGAGUGCUGUGUGACAAAUACUUUGUUGAACCAAGACUCUGAGGCUGAAAUGCAAUGUCACUUACAACAUUAAUCAGAUCCCGCAUUUAAGGUAGGAGGAAAGGUGGACUAUUUUUAACUCCCAGCCACUGCAUCCGGUGCAAGCAACUCCGGCUCUCACGUUUGUGUUUGCAGAGCCCGUGUCAGUGGUUUGAUUUUCAGCAAAUGUGACAGUGGCCUUUGCAGUGGUCAGCUCUGAGCUUUGAACUCUCAGAGGAGC
This is a long non-coding RNA of Mus musculus (house mouse), 763 nucleotides long. RefSeq annotates it as RIKEN cDNA E030011O05 gene. Lineage: Eukaryota; Metazoa; Chordata; Mammalia; Rodentia; Muridae. The transcript is spliced from 4 exons. The record is from RefSeq and is marked predicted.